This 468-nucleotide ribosomal RNA is filed under the name uncultured bacterium. RNAcentral describes it as "partial 16S ribosomal RNA". It matches the Rfam family "Bacterial small subunit ribosomal RNA", at positions 28 to 507 of the family's 1533-position model. The record is from RNAcentral.
GACGAACGCUGGCGGCGUGCUUAACACAUGCAAGUCGAACGGAAAGGCCCUGCUUUUGUGGGGUGCUCGAGUGGCGAACGCGUGAGUAACACGUGAGUAACCUGCCCUUGACUUUGGGAUAACUUCAGGAAACUGGGGCUAAUACCGGAUAGGAUCUCCUGCUGCAUGGUGGGCGUUGGAAAGUUUCGGCGGUUGGGGAUGGACUCGCGGCUUAUCAGCUUGUUGGUGGGGUAGUGGCUUACCAAGGCUUUGACGGGUAGCCGGCCUGAGAGGGUGACCGGCCACAUUGGGACUGAGAUACGGACCAGACUCGUACGGGAGGCAGCAGGGGGGAAUAUGGCACAAUGGGCGGAAGCGUGAGGCAGCAACGCCGCGUGCGGGAUGACGGCCUUCGGGGUGUAAACCGCUGUCGCCUGUGACGAAGCGUGAGUGACGGUAAUGGGUAAAGAAGCACCGGCUAACUACGUG